UAAGCCGCCCGAGGAUGGGCCGGCGGCCGAUUAGGUAGUUGGUGGGGUAACGGCCCACCAAGCCGAAGAUCGGUACGGGCCAUGAGAGUGGGAGCCCGGAGAUGGACACUGAGACACGGGUCCAGGCCCUACGGGGCGCAGCAGGCGCGAAACCUCCGCAAUGCGGGCAACCGCGACGGGGGGACCCCCAGUGCCGUGGCACAGCCACGGCUUUUCCGGAGUGUAAAAAGCUCCGGGAAUAAGGGCUGGGCAAGGCCGGUGGCAGCCGCCGCGGUAAUACCGGCGGCCCAAGUGGUGGCCGCUAUUAUUGGGCCUAAAGCGUCCGUAGCCGGGCCCGUAAGUCCCUGGCGAAAUCCCACGGC
RNAcentral lists this ribosomal RNA (362 nucleotides) under uncultured Thermococcus sp. Its description in RNAcentral is "bacterial SSU rRNA". It matches the Rfam family "Archaeal small subunit ribosomal RNA", at positions 195 to 558 of the family's 1478-position model. Lineage: Archaea; Methanobacteriati; Methanobacteriota; Thermococci; Thermococcales; Thermococcaceae. The record is from RNAcentral.